AGAGUUUGAUCAUGGCUCAGAACGAACGCUGGCGGCAUGCCUAACACAUGCAAGUCGAACGUGAUCCGCAGCUUCGGUUGCGGUGAAAGUGGCAAACGGGUGAGUAACGCGUGGGAACCUGCCCAGAGGUAGGGAAUAACUGCGGGAAACUGCGGCUAAUACCCUAUGUGUCCUGAGGGACAAAGAUUUAUCGCCUUUGGAGGGGCCCGCGUCGGAUUAGGUAGUUGGUGGGGUAACGGCCUACCAAGCCAUCGAUCCGUAGCUGGUCUGAGAGGAUGAUCAGCCACACUGGGACUGAGAUACGGCCCAGACUCCUACGGGAGGCAGCAGUGGGGAAUAUUGGACAAUGGGGGCAACCCUGAUCCAGCAAUGCCGCGUGAGUGAUGAAGGCCUUCGGGUUGUAAAGCUCUUUCGGCGGGGAAGAUGAUAACGGUACCCGCAGAAGAAGCCCCGGCUAACUUCGUGCCAGCAGCCGCGGUAAUACGAAGGGGGCUAGCGUUGUUCGGAAUUACUGGGCGUAAAGGGCGCGUAGGCUGUGCUGUAAGUCAGGCGUGAAAUCCCCGGGCUCAACCUGGGAAUUGCGUUUGAUACUGCGGCGCUGGAAUGCAGGAGAGGAUGGCGGAAUUCCCAGUGUAGAGGUGAAAUUCGUAGAUAUUGGGAAGAACACCGGGCGAAGGCGGCCAUCUGGCCUGUAACUGACGCUGAGGCGCGAAAGCGUGGGGAGCAAACAGGAUUAGAUACCCUAGUAGUCC
Molecule: ribosomal RNA, 752 nt
Filed under: uncultured bacterium
Lineage: Bacteria
Description: bacterial SSU rRNA
Rfam family: Bacterial small subunit ribosomal RNA
Source: RNAcentral